Molecule: unclassified non-coding RNA, 552 nt
Filed under: Hevea brasiliensis (rubber tree)
Lineage: Eukaryota; Viridiplantae; Streptophyta; Magnoliopsida; Malpighiales; Euphorbiaceae
Source: RNAcentral
GAUCCCGCAGCAGCAUGGGAAGGAUGAACGGAUCGUCGAUCCAGCGGGAUCCGGGGGCCGCCGGAGGGGGCACCGGGGCGGCGGCGAGGAUCGCCGCCCUCAGCCAUGGAAAUGAGACUAUCGCCGCCGUUAAUAGCACGGAUCUGGAUAUGAGACGCAGCAGGCGGGGGUCGGGGAGGCGGAGGACGAUCCGGUCGGGGCCGAUCUCGAGGGAGUGCGAUCUGGCCGGCCUCGGCAAGCUCAUUAUCGAGAGAGAUCGAGAUCGAUCGAUGAAAUCGAGAUCGAGAGAUCGAAGAAACAGAGAGAUUUCCAAAAGAGGAAAGGGGGGAAGGAUUUAGCGGGUGCAAAACCUGGAGGAGGUGUGGUUUCCACCCACGAGGGCCACACGGGUAAUUUGGGAUCUCAGCGUGAGGAGGAGGAGCUGCUGUUGGCGGCGGCGGUCCAUGGUGGAGGUCAGAUCGGCGGCGGAGAUUGGAGGAUUAGGUCAUCCCUGGUCUCCACCGGCGAUCACCGGCGGGUGAGAGUGGGGAGUGGGAGGGGAGUGUGUUUUUU